This is a long non-coding RNA of Helianthus annuus (common sunflower), 717 nucleotides long. RefSeq lists it as uncharacterized. The transcript has 4 exons. The record is from RefSeq and is a predicted model, not a curated record. NCBI's taxonomy places the organism in Eukaryota, Viridiplantae, Streptophyta, Magnoliopsida, Asterales, Asteraceae.
CAUGCGACUUAGUUUUCUCAGAAAAUUGAAACAGGGAGAUAUAUGUCUCAUCUUCUACCCACAUAUGUAAAUCAAAAGAGUAGAGCUUGAGAGGGAAGAGGAGAUAUAUAUAGAGAGAGAGCGUGAAGGACAGGGGUGAUGACCGUAGGUUCACCACCGUCACCAUCACCGUCAAUCCACCUUUGCGGUCACAACUACACUACCGGAUCAUCUCAGAGAGUCACCACGUCACUUUUGCCUCAAGGAUUUCAGUGGUGAAGAUGGCGAUUCUGAGGACCAUCGGUCUUGUGAUGUUCUUGUCCGGUAAUAAUCUUAGAUAUAAAAAAUUGAUCAUCGGCGAAGAGGAGGGACUUUGUUAGACUUUGUCGUUAACGAGGCUUGCAAAGAUAUGACUUUAAAUCAGAAAUAAAAAAGAAAAUACAACAUUGAUUUCUAUUCCUGGACACAUUGCUAGAAAUUGUGUUCAUCGCCCAAACGUGCAACAAGAUGUUAAUACUAAAUCUUGUGCUGAUGUUUGUGAGCCGGUUCACAAGAAGCGAAAGGAGCUAAAACGAGCAGAUCAAAAUCGAGGGUACAAGAAGUCUGCUUGUCCUCAUAAGUCUCGUGACAAGGUGAAUGAAAGCUCCAAUCAAGGAUAUACCCAACUCGAAUCCUAGCCCGGUUUGUAAGUACUUUGUUGGUGUUGCUGUUUUGUUCAGGAUUUAAGUAGCCAGGUUA